Molecule: ribosomal RNA, 460 nt
Filed under: uncultured bacterium
Lineage: Bacteria
Description: partial 16S ribosomal RNA
Rfam family: Bacterial small subunit ribosomal RNA
Source: RNAcentral
CCUACGGGCGGCAGCAGUGAGGAAUAUUGGUCAAUGGACGAGAGUCUGAACCAGCCAAGUAGCGUGAAGGAUGACUGCCCUAUGGGUUGUAAACUUCUUUUAUAUGGGAAUAAAACGUUCCACGUGUGGGAUUUUGUAUGUACCAUAUGAAUAAGGAUCGGCUAACUCCGUGCCAGCAGCCGCGGUAAUACGGAGGAUCCGAGCGUUAUCCGGAUUUAUUGGGUUUAAAGGGAGCGUAGGUGGAUUGUUAAGUCAGUUGUGAAAGUUUGCGGCUCAACCGUAAAAUUGCAGUUGAAACUGGCAGUCUUGAGUACAGUAGAGGUGGGCGGAAUGCGUGGUGUAGCGGUGAAAUGCUUAGAUAUCACGAAGAACUCCGAUUGCGAAGGCAGCUCACUGGACUGCAACUGACGCUGAGGAGCGAAAGCGUGGGUAGCAAACAGGAUUAGAUACCCUUGUAGUC